AGUGAACGCUGGCGGUAGGCCUAACACAUGCAAGUCGAACGGCAGCACAGUAAGAGCUUGCUCUUACGGGUGGCGAGUGGCGGACGGGUGAGGAAUACAUCGGAAUCUACUUUUUCGUGGGGGAUAACGUAGGGAAACUUACGCUAAUACCGCAUACGACCUACGGGUGAAAGCAGGGGAUCUUCGGACCUUGCGCGAUUGAAUGAGCCGAUGUCGGAUUAGCUAGUUGGCGGGGUAAAGGCCCACCAAGGCGACGAUCCGUAGCUGGUCUGAGAGGAUGAUCAGCCACACUGGAACUGAGACACGGUCCAGACUCCUACGGGAGGCAGCAGUGGGGAAUAUUGGACAAUGGGCGCAGGCCUGAUCCAGCCAUACCGCGUGGGUGAAGAAGGCAUUCGGGUUGUAAAGCCCUUUUGUUGGGAAAGAAAAGCAGCAGGUUAAUACCCCGCUGUUCUGACGGUACCCAAAGAAUAAGCACCGGCUAACUUCGUG
This 492-nucleotide ribosomal RNA is filed under the name uncultured bacterium. RNAcentral's name for it is "partial 16S ribosomal RNA". It matches the Rfam family "Bacterial small subunit ribosomal RNA", at positions 29 to 507 of the family's 1533-position model. The record is from RNAcentral.